Molecule: transfer RNA, 32 nt
Filed under: Austrostipa nodosa
Lineage: Eukaryota; Viridiplantae; Streptophyta; Magnoliopsida; Poales; Poaceae
Description: partial tRNA-Phe
Source: RNAcentral
GUCAGGAUAGCUCANCUGGUAAAGCAAAGGAC